This 90-nucleotide transfer RNA is filed under the name Calditrichota bacterium. Its description in RNAcentral is "Calditrichaeota bacterium tRNA-Ser". It matches the Rfam family "tRNA". Rfam says of the family: Transfer RNA (tRNA) molecules are approximately 80 nucleotides in length. Their secondary structure includes four short double-helical elements and three loops (D, anti-codon, and T loops). The record is from RNAcentral. Lineage: Bacteria; Pseudomonadati; Calditrichota.
GGAGGGGUGGCCGAGCGGCUGAAGGCGGCGGUCUUGAAAACCGCUGUCCGCUUACGCGGACCGUGGGUUCGAAUCCCACCCCCUCCGCCA